UACGGAGGGUGCGAGCGUUGUCCGGAAUCACUGGGCGUAAAGGGCGCGUAGGCGGUCCGAUAAGCGUGUGGUGAAAGCCCGGGGCUCAACCCCGGGUCUGCCGUGCGAACUGUCGGACUCGAGCACUGUAGAGGCAGGUGGAAUUCCGAGUGUAGCGGUGGAAUGCGUAGAGAUUCGGAGGAACACCGGUGGCGAAGGCGGCCUGCUGGGCAGUGUCUGACGCUGAGGCGCGACAGCGUGGGGAGCAAACAGG
RNAcentral lists this ribosomal RNA (253 nucleotides) under uncultured bacterium. RNAcentral's name for it is "partial 16S ribosomal RNA". It matches the Rfam family "Bacterial small subunit ribosomal RNA", at positions 524 to 776 of the family's 1533-position model. The record is from RNAcentral.